UGAUGGCUGUAGCCACCAGGACACAGGGAGGACGGGGAGAGGCCUCAGCAUCAGCUGCAAGUACAGGAAGUAGGUGGCACAAACACUGCACCCACAAAGUCAAUCUUUACCACAAGACGCUGGCUGAAACUUAAGUGCCUUGGAACACUAGGCACCCCAGCAGGCGAGGAGGGUGACUCAGCGGGCAGGCGGGCGCCCUGGCCCUGUGACUCAGGGCACACACCUCGCUCGGCCUGGCUACUGGCACCGUCGGAUGACACAUGAAACACAGCCACUGCGUGACCCUGACAGUUUCCACAAGAGCUAAGGGCUGGCUCUGGAAGCAGCUAGGUAAUAAGGGCUGACAGCCUACAUCUAAUUAAAUCAUUUCAAAAGCUGAGCCUGGCAUGGCAACCUUCUGCGGAACUAUCCAGGCUUCCACAUGGUGACUUACCGGAAGAAGCGUCCUGGUAUUACACAACAUGCAUGGAGUACUGGAAGAAUGGCCAACAUCUACAGUACCGGCGUUAAGAAGGAGCAAAGGUGGCCUGAGGACCAAGAUGGGAAGCGGAAGGAGCCUGAGUUGUCUGGGUUCUGCAACCCUGUGAUGUAAGGAGAGCCCUGCGUGCUCAGCCCCGUCUUCAGUUCCUGAGGGAGGCUUCUGACAGCAGAGCGCCUGCUGAGCAGGGCAGGGACCUGGCCCUGCACCUUGAAGAUGAACAAAACAAACAGGGUCCCAGCGGCUCCUCUGGGAACAGGAAGUGCACACGCUAUUACCUGCCAGCCAGGGACAGGACAGCGGCCCAGUCCAGGACCAAGAUGGGGGAGCAGGCACCCCAGAACCACAGAACCUG
Molecule: long non-coding RNA, 833 nt
Filed under: Cavia porcellus (domestic guinea pig)
Lineage: Eukaryota; Metazoa; Chordata; Mammalia; Rodentia; Caviidae
Description: lncRNA (ENSCPOG00000040260.1)
Source: RNAcentral